GAUGAAGAACGUAGCGAAAUGCGAUAAGUAAUGUGAAUAGCAGAAUUCAGUGAAUCAUCGAAUCUUUGAACGCACAUUGCGCCCGCCAGUAUUCUGGCGGGCAUGCCUGUCUGAGCGUCAUUUCAACCCUCAUGCCCCUAGGGCGUGGUGUUGGGGAUCGGCCAAAGCCCGCGAGGGACGGCCGGCCCCUAAAUCUAGUGGCGGACCCGUCGUGGCCUCCUCUGCGAAGUAGUGAUAUUCCGCAUCGGAGAGCGACGAGCCCCUGCCGUUAAACCCCCAACUUUCCAAGGUUGACCUCAGAUCAGGUAGGAAUACCCGCUGAACUUAAGCAUAUCAAUAAGCGGAGGA
RNAcentral lists this unclassified non-coding RNA (348 nucleotides) under soil metagenome. RNAcentral describes it as "partial contains 5.8S ribosomal RNA, internal transcribed spacer 2, and large subunit ribosomal RNA". The stretch from base 1 to 120 matches the Rfam family "5.8S ribosomal RNA", at positions 35 to 154 of the family's 154-position model. The record is from RNAcentral.